Zonotrichia leucophrys gambelii is the source of this 729-nucleotide long non-coding RNA. RefSeq lists it as uncharacterized. The transcript is spliced from 3 exons. NCBI's taxonomy places the organism in Eukaryota, Metazoa, Chordata, Aves, Passeriformes, Passerellidae. The record is from RefSeq and is a predicted model, not a curated record.
ACACACCAACACUGCCAGGUGGAACCUGAAAAGUUAUCCUUACAAUAGCUGUCUCUAUAGGAGUCACUGGACUGUCAGAGUGGAGAGGAAAGGAUAGGAAGGGGCAGGCUGAGGGCAACACUCAAAUGGACAGCAUCCCUCUUCAAUGCCAGGGUUGGGCUUCUUUGUCUAGGAGAGUACAUGAACCAGGAUAGCCAUACAGAAGAGUCAGACCUCCAAAGCUGAGGCAGAAAUAAGGAUUUUGUCACAAAACAGACCUAAGCGUAGUGUGGCUGGUAAUAUGUAGAAGAUGCUGAUGCUGGGAGCCUCAUCUGUCUGGGUUGUAUUUUCCAAAACACAAUUGCAGUGCUGUAACCUGAUGAAGAGGCAAUGGCAUUUCACAAUGUGUACUCCAUUCACAGCUACCUGCUUAAAAUGUGGAAGGUGGAGGGGAUGCCUGACGGGCUAUUCUGGAGGGUUAAAUACAAAUCAUCACACUGCUUUAUUGGAUAAGCUUCUCUACAUCGGCAGAUCACGUGCUUGGGAGACCAAAUCAGCUCACAUCUCCGGCAGUGGCAGUGGCUUUGGCACGGCUAUCCAGGAUUUCACGUCAGAAUUGAGGAAAAAUUUGCCACAAAAUUGGAGGAAAUAUGAUUUGAAAAUGGAAGGACGGGCAGUGAAAAUUUUGUAUUGGGAUGCUGAGAUAUCAAUGCUGAGAUGCAUUAGAGUAAUAAAGAUCUAUGAUUUGGA